This is a non-coding RNA of Podarcis lilfordi (Lilford's wall lizard), 74 nucleotides long. NCBI's taxonomy places the organism in Eukaryota, Metazoa, Chordata, Lepidosauria, Squamata, Lacertidae. The record is from the annotation of a GenBank genome assembly.
AUGUUCAUAGCUCAGUUGGUAGAGCAUGAGAUUCUUAAUCUCAGGGUAGCCUUUAAGUAGCCCUUAAGAGCAUC